UCAAGUUCUAACAUCAAAAUCACAAUCUUGCUCAUCAUGUCACCGGAAAAUUUUUGCAACAUCCAUAUGUUUAUGGAGUGUUUGUGUUUGAAGCCAUGGCGACUUACGUUGGGCAAGUUUCUGUGCUAUCCAUCAUUGCUCUUUUCGGUGCAGCCACCCCUGCUAUAAUAACGACUGUUAGAAAAGCAGUAACUUUGUUGCUUUCAUAUGUGAUAUUUACAAAGCCAAUGACUAACCAACAUGGGGCAGGGCUUCUUCUUAUAUCUAUGGGAAUCAUAGUUAAGAUGGUCCCAGAAAACCAAAUCCCAAGUUGGAGUUCAGUCCUUGGUAUAUGGAUAUGUAUCCUUCAAAUCAAAGAAUAGUGACUGAGGCAGCUCUAAUCUCUGUUCAAGGAAAGGUACUAGCGUUGUUCAUCAUGUUUAUAUCAUCUUAUUAUUUGUGACUAUAAGCAUGGACCUAUUCUGCAUCCAAAUUUCAUAAAGACAUUUUAAAUUAGAGAUUCUCUGUUUAGAAUUUUGUUUUGAAUGGUGUGUUUUCUAUUUUCUAUAGUGGCUAAUUGAAUGAAUUAAUAGUGACUGAUUGCUCAAAUUUUGUUGCAAAAAGUGUCAAGAAAGCUAGGAGCUUGGCAGCUUUAGUUUUAGUAGGAGAUACAUGUGUUGUAUCAAUUUAUGUUAGUUUCUUUCACAAUUUUUUGUUCAUAUACUACCAUGGUUGUAAGUUUGUAAUUGUACUCUUUAUUACUCUGAAUAAAACUAUAUUUAUUGUUAUAAUUAUUUUCUUAAA
Cannabis sativa is the source of this 783-nucleotide long non-coding RNA. RefSeq lists it as uncharacterized. Lineage: Eukaryota; Viridiplantae; Streptophyta; Magnoliopsida; Rosales; Cannabaceae. The record is from RefSeq and is a predicted model, not a curated record. The transcript is spliced from 2 exons.